GCUCUUUCCACAGCUGCUCCUCUUGCAGGGGCGACGUGUCCCACGGCUGGGCGGGACUGAGGCAACACCAGACGGAAAAUACUGAGUGCAACCUGGGGAUCCUCUACUGCUCAAUCAGCAAGUGGCAGCUGUGGUCAGGAGGUUCAUAUCGUAUACCAGUUGUGCCCUUCCCUCAAGUGGGACACCCUUCAGAUGCUCACUAACACCUUGAUUACCUUCUGCCUGGAAUAUUGCAAUAAAAUUAUACUCUACAUGGUGCUGCCCUUGAAGAUCAUCAAAAGCUACAGUUGAUGCAAAGUGAAUAAUUUUAUUAUGCCCAUGUGUCAUUGUUGCUCCAUGAACUAUACUGGUUGCUAUAGUAAGCUUCUGGAUAAAAUGAAAGGUGCUGGUUGUCAACUAUAAAGCUCUUUAUGGCACAGGUACUGGUCAUCUGCAGGAUUUCCUAUUCCCAAUUAUUUCUAUUCACCCAGUACAAUGCUGUGUUUGUCCAUGUACAAUUUAUUUAUAUGGUCUGUUUAAAUAAAGCUUUAUUGUUUGACUUUACACUCAAGAGUUGUUGAUAAGUGAUUUAAUAGCAUUUGGGGAUUUCAUUUCUGAUAUAAAAAUAGUUAUUAAAGCUGGAUUAUAAACUGAAGUCUACAAAUACAAUAAAUUAUAAGAUAUUUUAUAAGUA
Thamnophis elegans (Western terrestrial garter snake) is the source of this 673-nucleotide long non-coding RNA. RefSeq lists it as uncharacterized. The record is from RefSeq and is a predicted model, not a curated record. The transcript is spliced from 2 exons. Lineage: Eukaryota; Metazoa; Chordata; Lepidosauria; Squamata; Natricidae.